CUCUCCCGGGGAAGUCGCUGCCCUUACCUUCAGCAGGACCUCGCGCCUCUGGGUCUGCGCCCGCUGGCAUCUCCGCUCAGUCCUCCAGCUACCCACUGCCUGCCUGCCGCCUACCAUGGCCCUGCUGCACUCUGGCCGCGUCCUGUUCGGAGUCGCCGCGGCUUUCCACCCAGGCCUCGCUGCCGCGGCUUCUGCCAGAGCCAGCUCCUGGUGGGCUACA
Odocoileus virginianus texanus is the source of this 220-nucleotide non-coding RNA. Lineage: Eukaryota; Metazoa; Chordata; Mammalia; Artiodactyla; Cervidae. The record is from RefSeq and is a predicted model, not a curated record.